This 216-nucleotide ribosomal RNA is filed under the name Glomeromycotina sp. RNAcentral's name for it is "partial small subunit ribosomal RNA". The stretch from base 40 to 216 matches the Rfam family "Eukaryotic small subunit ribosomal RNA", at positions 686 to 864 of the family's 1831-position model. The record is from RNAcentral. Lineage: Eukaryota; Fungi; Glomeromycota.
GGGUCAGUAGGUUGGUCGUGCCACCGGUACGUACUGGUCUCACUGAUUCCUCCUUCCUGAAGAACCGUAAUGCCAUUAAUUUGGUGUCGCGGGGAAACAGGACUGUUACUUUGAAAAAAUUGGAGUGUUUAAAGCAAGCUAACGCUUGAAUACAUUAGCAUGGAAUAAUGAAAUAGGACGAUCGAUCCUAUUUUGUUGGUUUCUAGGAUUGACGUA